RNAcentral lists this ribosomal RNA (407 nucleotides) under uncultured bacterium. RNAcentral's name for it is "partial 16S ribosomal RNA". It matches the Rfam family "Bacterial small subunit ribosomal RNA", at positions 30 to 526 of the family's 1533-position model. The record is from RNAcentral.
AUUGAACGCUGGCGGCAGGCCUAACACAUGCAAGUAGAGCGGAGCGGCGGACGGGUGAGUCAUGCUUAGGAAUCUGCCUGGUAGUGGGGGAUAACGUCCGGAAACGGGCGCUAAUACCGCAUAAUAUCCGAUGAGAAUUAGUCGGAUUAGCUAGUUGGUGGGGUAAGGGCCUACCAAGGCGACGAUCCGUAACUGGUAUGAGAGGAUGAUCAGUCACACUGGAACUGAGCCACGGUCCAGACUCCUACGGGAGGCAGCAGUGGGGAAUAUUGGACAAUGGGCGAAAGCCUGAUCCAGCCAGGCCGCGUGUGUGAAGAAGGUCUUCGGAUUGUAAAGCACUUUAAGUUGGGAGGCGUUACCAACAGAAUAAGCACCGGCUAACUUCGUGCCAGCAGCCGCGGUAAUUC